RNAcentral lists this long non-coding RNA (1965 nucleotides) under Citrus x clementina. Its description in RNAcentral is "Citrus clementina (C. clementina) long non-coding RNA (CCLE_LNC000671)". The record is from RNAcentral. Lineage: Eukaryota; Viridiplantae; Streptophyta; Magnoliopsida; Sapindales; Rutaceae.
CCCCGAAGGUCGGGGUCCCAAGACCCCCCAGCGGAAAAAUGGCCAAGAAACGGGUGGGCUAUAGCCUUGGUGGGGGGCGUGGGCGAAGUUCGUCCGCGGGACUCGGAAUGGCCCCAGACUUGGCGGGCGGCCUCCGUGUGCCAAAAAUAGGCCACGGGCACAGCCGCGCCCAAAAAUCAGCCCCCGAAGGUCGGGGUCACAAGACCCCCCAGCGGAAAAAAGGCUAAGAAACGCGUGGGCUAUAGCCUUGGUGGGGGGCGUGGGCGAAGUUCGUCCGCGGGACUCGGAAUGGCACCAUACUUGGCGGGCGGCCUCCGUGUGCCAAAAAUAGGCCACGGGCACAGCCGCGCCCAAAAAUCAGCCCCCGAAGGUCGGGGUCCCAAGACCCCCCAGCGGAAAAAUGGCCAAAAAACGGGUGGGCUAUAGCCUUGGUGGGGGGCGUGGGCGAAGUUCGUCCGCGUGACUCGGAAUGGCCCCAGACUUGGCGGGCGGCCUCCGUGUGCCAAAAAUAGGCCACGGGCACAGCCGCGCCCAAAAAUCAGCCCCCGAAGGUCGGGGUCCCAAGACCCCCCAGCGGAAAAAUGGCCAAGAAACGCGUGGGCUAUAGCCUUGGUGGGGGGCGUGGGCGAAGUUCGUCCGCGGGACUCGGAAUGGCCCCAGACUUGGCGGGCGGCCUCCGUGUGCCAAAAAUAGGCCACGGGCACAGCCGCGCCCAAAAAUCAGCCCCCGAAGGUCGGGGUCACAAGACCCCCCAGCGGAAAAAAGGCCAAGAAACGCGUGGGCUAUAGCCUUGGUGGGGGGCGUGGGUGAAGUUCGUCCGCGGGACUCGGAAUGGCACCAUACUUGGCGGGCGGCCUCCGUGUGCCAAAAAUAGGCCACGGGCACAGCCGCGCCCAAAAAUCAGCCCCCGAAGGUCGGGGUCCCAAGCCCCCCCAGCGGAAAAAUGGCCAAGAAACGCGUGGGCUAUAGCCUUGGUGGGGGGCGUGGGCGAAGUUCGUCCGCGGGACUCGGAAUGGCCCCAGACUUGGCGGGCGGCCUCCGUGUGCCAAAAAUAGGCCACGGGCACAGCCGGGCCCAAAAAUCAGCCCCCGAAGGUCGGGGUCACAAGGACCCCCCAGCGGAAAAAAGGCCAAGAAACGGGUGGGCUAUAGCCUUGGUGGGGGGCGUGGGCGAAGUUCGUCCGCGGGACUCGGAAUGGCACCAUACUUGGCGGGCGGCCUCCGUGUGCCAAAAAUAGGCCACGGGCACAGCCGCGCCCAAAAAUCAGCCCCCGAAGUUCGGGGUCCCAAGACCCCCCAGCGGAAAAAUGGCCAAAAAACGGGUGGGCUAUAGCCUUGGUGGGGGGCGUGGGCGAAGUUCGUCCGCGGGACUCGAAAUGGCCCCAGACUUGGCGGGCGGCCUCCGUGUGCCAAAAAUAGGCCACGGGCACAGCCGCGCCCAAAAAUCAGCCCCCGAAGGUCGGGGUCCCAAGACCCCCCAGCGGAAAAAUGGCCAAGAAACGCGUGGGCUAUAGCCUUGGUGGGGGGCGUGGGCGAAGUUCGUCCGCGGGACUCGGAAUAGCCCCAGACUUGGCGGGCGGCCUCCGUGUGCCAAAAAUUGGCCACGGGCACAGCCGCGCCCAAAAAUCAGCCCCCGAAGGUCGGGGUCCCAAGACCCCCCAGCGGAAAAAUGGCCAAGAAACGGGUGGGCUAUAGCCUUGGUGGGGGGCGUGGGCGAAGUUCGUCCGCGGGACUCGGAAUGGCCCCAGACUUGGCGGGCGGCCUCCGUGUGCCAAAAAUAGGCCACGGGCACAGCCGCACCCAAAAAUCAGCCCCCGAAGGUCGGGGUCCCAAGACCCCCCAGCGGAAAAAUGGCCAAGAAACGCAUGGGCUAUAGCCUUGGUGGGGGGCGUGGGCGAAGUUCGUCCGCGGGACUCGGAAUGGCCCCAGACUUGGCGGGCGGCCUCCGUGUGCCAAAAAUAGGCCA